RNAcentral lists this ribosomal RNA (253 nucleotides) under uncultured bacterium. Its description in RNAcentral is "partial 16S ribosomal RNA". It matches the Rfam family "Bacterial small subunit ribosomal RNA", at positions 524 to 776 of the family's 1533-position model. The record is from RNAcentral.
UACGUAGGGACCGAGCGUUGUCCGGAAUCAUUGGGCGUAAAGAGCUCGUAGGCGGUUUGUCGCGUCGUUCGUGAAAACUCACAGCUUAACUGUGAGCUUGCGGUCGAUACGGGCAGGCUAGAGUUCGGUAGGGGAGACUGGAAUUCCUGGUGUAGCGGUGAAAUGCGCAGAUAUCAGGAGGAACACCGGUGGCGAAGGCGGGUCUCUGGGCCGAUACUGACGCUGAGGAGCGAAAGCGUGGGGAGCGAACAGG